CGCGGCCUAUCAGCUUGUUGGUGGGGUAACGGCCUACCAAGGCAUUGACGGGUAGCUGGCGUGAGAGCGUGGCCAGCCACACUGGGACUGAGACACGGCCCAGACUCCUACGGGAGGCAGCAGUAGGGAAUCUUGCGCAAUGGGCGAAAGCCUGACGCAGCGACGCCGCGUGAGGGAUGAAGGCUUUCGGGUUGUAAACCUCUUUCAGCAGGGACGAAGCGAAAGUGACAGUACCUGCAGAAGAAGCCCCGGCUAACUACGUGCCAGCAGCCGCGGUAAUACGUAGGGCGCAAGCGUUAUCCGGAAUUAUUGGGCGUAAAGAGCUCGUAGGCGGUUUGUCGCGUCGGGAGUGAAAACUCGGAGCUUAACUCCGAGCCUGCUUCCGAUACGGGCAGACUAGAGGUAUGCAGGGGAGAACGGAAUUCCUGGUGUAGCGGUGAAAUGCGCAGAUAUCAGGAGGAACACCGGUGGCGAAGGCGGUUCUCUGGGCAUUACCUGACGCUGAGGAGCGAAAGUGUGGGGAGCGAACAGGAUUAGAUACCCUGGUAGUCCAUGCCGUAAACGUUGGGCGCUAGGUGUGGGGGACAUUCCACGUCCUCCGUGCCGCAGCUAACGCAUUAAGCGCCCCGCCUGGGGAGUACGG
This 643-nucleotide ribosomal RNA is filed under the name uncultured Actinomycetes bacterium. Its description in RNAcentral is "bacterial SSU rRNA". It matches the Rfam family "Bacterial small subunit ribosomal RNA", at positions 232 to 885 of the family's 1533-position model. Lineage: Bacteria; Bacillati; Actinomycetota; Actinomycetes. The record is from RNAcentral.